This 457-nucleotide ribosomal RNA is filed under the name uncultured bacterium. RNAcentral describes it as "partial 16S ribosomal RNA". It matches the Rfam family "Bacterial small subunit ribosomal RNA", at positions 29 to 523 of the family's 1533-position model. The record is from RNAcentral.
AACGAACGCUGGCGGCAUGCCUAACACAUGCAAGUCGAACGGGAUCCUAGCUUGCUAGGUGAGAGUGGCGGACGGGUGAGUAACACGUGGGAAUCUGCCUUUUGGUUCGGGAUAACCGCGGGAAACUGCGGCUAAUACCGGAUGCUCCCGAGAGGGAAAAGAUUUAUCGCCAGAAGAGGAGCCCGCGUCCGAUUAGGUAGUUGGUAGGGUAAUGGCCUACCAAGCCAACGAUCGGUAGCUGGUCUGAGAGGGUGAUCAGCCACACUGGGACUGAGAUACGGCCCAGACUCCUACGGGAGGCAGCAGUGGGGAAUAUUGGACAAUGGGGGCAACCCUGAUCCAGCAAUGCCGCGUGAGUGAUGAAGGCCUUAGGGUUGUAAAGCUCUUUUGCCAGGGAAGAUGAUGACUGUACCUGGAGAAUAAGCCCCGGCUAACUUCGUGCCAGCCGCCGCCGUAA